This 882-nucleotide ribosomal RNA is filed under the name Corynespora torulosa. RNAcentral's name for it is "eukaryotic LSU rRNA". It matches the Rfam family "Eukaryotic large subunit ribosomal RNA", at positions 39 to 938 of the family's 3401-position model. The record is from RNAcentral. Lineage: Eukaryota; Fungi; Ascomycota; Dothideomycetes; Pleosporales; Corynesporascaceae.
CAUAUCAAUAAGCGGAGGAAAAGAAACCAACAGGGAUUGCCCUAGUAACGGCGAGUGAAGCGGCAACAGCUCAAAUUUGAAAUCUGGCUCUCUAGGGGGUCCGAGUUGUAAUUUGCAGAGGGUGCUUUGGCGUUGGCAGCGGUCUAAGUUCCUUGGAACAGGACGUCACAGAGGGUGAGAAUCCCGUACGUGGUCGCCAGCCUUCGCCGUGUAAAGCCCCUUCGACGAGUCGAGUUGUUUGGGAAUGCAGCUCUAAAUGGGAGGUAAAUUUCUUCUAAAGCUAAAUACUGGCCAGAGACCGAUAGCGCACAAGUAGAGUGAUCGAAAGAUGAAAAGCACUUUGGAAAGAGAGUCAAAAAGCACGUGAAAUUGUUGAAAGGGAAGCGCUUGCAGCCAGACUUGCCUGUAGUUGCUCAGCCGGGCUCCGGCCCGGUGCACUCUUCUGCGGGCAGGCCAGCAUCAGUUCGGGCGGCCGGAUAAAGACCUCUGUCACGUACCUCCCUCCGGGGAGAACUUAUAGGGGAGGUGAAAUGCGGCCAGUCCGGACUGAGGUCCGCGCAUCUGCUAGGAUGCUGGCGUAAUGGCUGUAAGCGGCCCGUCUUGAAACACGGACCAAGGAGUCUAACAUCUAUGCGAGUGUUUGGGUGUCAAGCCCGAGCGCGUAAUGAAAGUGAACGGAGGUGGGAACCCUUCGGGGUGCACCAUCGACCGAUCCUGAUGUCUUCGGAUGGAUUUGAGUAAGAGCAUAGCUGUUGGGACCCGAAAGAUGGUGAACUAUGCUUGAAUAGGGUGAAGCCAGAGGAAACUCUGGUGGAGGCUCGCAGCGGUUCUGACGUGCAAAUCGAUCGUCAAAUUUGGGCAUAGGGGCGAAAGACUAAUCGA